Acanthopagrus latus (yellowfin seabream) is the source of this 2162-nucleotide long non-coding RNA. RefSeq lists it as uncharacterized. The transcript has 6 exons. Lineage: Eukaryota; Metazoa; Chordata; Actinopteri; Spariformes; Sparidae. The record is from RefSeq and is a predicted model, not a curated record.
GUAAUCUUAUUAUUGUGUUGUGCUGUUUUGGCACAGAGAAGGACGGGAGGAGGGGGAGCGGGAGGAAAAAUGGGGAGAGGAGAGGAAUUUUAUCUCUGUUUCCAUCACUGAAUGAGGCCUGGAACUUCAGGAUGGACGCCACAUUUAACAAAAGGCAGGAACCUGACCUGUGCCUCUGCUUGUCCGCGGACGUCCUCCCAUGUCACACCCCCCAUGGGUGCCCUGGUAAUCCCACUCCACAACAUUGCUGCUGGCAGCUGUAUAUAUUGUAAACGCACAUCAUCUCCAGUUUCACAUAAAUAAGCCAUUGAACCAUUUCUGUUGUCCAAUUGGCUUCAUGUGAUUGGACGGACCUGGAUAUGGGGGCUCACACCUGAUUGUGAUGGGAACGGAGACAUGUGUAAUAGGGAGCAGCAGAGUGGCACACCUGUCUCUCAUCAGCUCAUCAUCCUUUGGCUAUAUUACCCCGGUCUCUCCACUACCUCGGCACCAGAUUAUUCCAUCCUGUAUGGAACGUCCAGCACCUUUCUGCUUUGCUUUCCUGUUCGCCUGCUCCUGUGUUCCUCCACACUUGACCUCCAUGGUGAGUGGUAGGAGGGAAGACAUGCAGCAAACAGCCGCAGAUCAGAUUCAAACCCAGGCCCGCUGCCGCGAGGACACAGCAUCUGUAUAUGCUGUGUCAAACCACACCAAACAAACCAUCAAAAGUAGGCGGGGUUUGUCAAGGAAAAUGUUCCAUUGUCCCAUAAAGCCGUAGUAACAGAUUUGUAGCCACUGGUUUUCACUACAGCUAUUGUUCUUGAAACUAUGUUGUAAUUAAAGGCAAAAAGACAUUGCAAACGUAGUCUAAAUUUAAUGUUUCUAAAAAGGAUUAUUGAUAAUUUGAGGGAUAGACUUGAUGCAUCUUGGUGUAAAUCUAAAUACAUGACACCUUUAUGCGUCGACUGUGCAAGAUGUAUAGGGAGAACACAUAUAAUAAUGAUGGCCAACCAUGACCCGAGUAACAGCAGCAAUAAUAUUUUUGGUAAUGUGCACAUAAUAUAUCAAAGAACUGCACAUAUCACAGUUUGUAAGCUUCAUAAAUCUCACUAUUCAUCACUGUAAGUGUAAACUCCAUUUAUACACUAUACACUAGUUUGCACUGACUGCGGCACAAGUCGUUUAAAACUCCAAUUGCAGAAGUAAAAAUGUGUUGGCGUUCAUCCAAGUGUUUGUGUGGGUUGUAAUGUAGCUGCAGUUUCUCCUAAACGGAAUGCCAAGAAACAAUAAGGGAGACAGGCAAGUGUGGGAAAGGAACAGCCAUGAAACUGAAUGGUGGGCGGAUGCUGGACGGUUAAGGAGCCCGUGGAGACAUUAUGUUCUUUAUGAAGCCAUAAAACAAAAGACUGUUGCCUUUCCCUUCAUCCUGUCAUCCCAGUGACCUUCGUUUGAUGACCAGCUAUCGUUGCUGGCCUUUUAAAGGUCCAGGUAAUGGCAUAGCAGACAUAUACUACCACACAUAACCACAUCAUCAUCAUUGCACGGCCACUGCAUGCUGGGCAAUAAUCUGCCUCAGGCUCCAGGGUUUUAUGAUUGACAGAACUGAAUAAAUCUCCUCAUUUGGAUAUGCUGUGACAGGAAUUAAUUACCAGGCAAUUGUGUCUAACAUAUUAAUUUAGAGGAGAUUAUACAAUGCAUUAGCCCGACACUUAUUAAGCAUGGUUAUGUACGCCUGCGUUUGUGUAUUGAAAUCGCACAGGCGGAAAAUUCGGUCCAAUUUGCCAUGCUUGGCUCCCGUUAACACACUGCUGUGUCUCUGAAACCCUCCCUCCUUCCUCAUAUCAUGUUCCCUCUCUCCUACCACUCUGUUCUCUGUCCUAUCUCUAUUCUCUUCCAUCAUCUAGUUUCCUACAUCUGACUGAUAGAAGAAUGGUGUAACCCUGGGGUCUCAUGUCAUAUGCAGAAAUACAUUUUGGCCAGGCUUGUAAAAAGAAAAAAUGGAAGGAACUACUUUUGUUCCUCCUUUGAAAAACAGCCUUUCUUCUUUGGAGCUGUAAUUAUAUUUCUUAUAGAGGGCAGACAUCAUCCAAACUGUCUACAUCUGUUCAUGGUUGUACCAAAUAAUGUUAAAUGUAUCUAAAUUUAUAAAAUUGUAUUAAAUCAAAGAAAUGUUGAUUAAAUAA